RNAcentral lists this ribosomal RNA (253 nucleotides) under uncultured bacterium. RNAcentral's name for it is "partial 16S ribosomal RNA". It matches the Rfam family "Bacterial small subunit ribosomal RNA", at positions 524 to 776 of the family's 1533-position model. The record is from RNAcentral.
UACGGAGGGUGCUAGCGUUGUCCGGAAUUAUUGGGCGUAAAGGGCUCGUAGGCGGUUUGUCGCGUCGGGAGUGAAAACAUCCAGCUUAACUGGGUGCUUGCUUUCGAUACGGGCAGACUAGAGGUAUGCAGGGGAGAACGGAAUUCCUGGUGUAGCGGUGAAAUGCGCAGAUAUCAGGAGGAACACCGGUGGCGAAGGCGGUUCUCUGGGCAUGAUCUGACGCUGAGGAGCGAAAGUGUGGGGAGCGAACAGG